AUUGAACGCUGGCGGCAGGCCUAACACAUGCAAGUCGGACGGUAGCACAGAGGAGCUUGCUCCUUGGGUGACGAGUGGCGGACGGGUGAGUAAUGUCUGGGGAUCUGCCCGAUAGAGGGGGAUAACCACUGGAAACGGUGGCUAAUACCGCAUAACGUCGCAAGACCAAAGAGGGGGACCUUCGGGCCUCUCACUAUCGGAUGAACCCAGAUGGGAUUAGCUAGUAGGCGGGGGAAUGGCCCACCUAGGCGACGAUCCCUAGCUGGUCUGAGAGGAUGACCAGCCACACUGGAACUGAGACACGGUCCAGACUCCUACGGGAUGCAGCAGUGGGGAAUAUUGCACAAUGGGCGCAAGCCUGAUGCAGCCAUGCCGCGUGUAUGAAGAAGGCCUUCGGGUUGUAAAGUACUUUCAGCGGGGAGGAAGGCGGUGAGGUUAAUAACCUCGCCGAUUGACGUUACCCGCAGAAGAAGCACCGGCUAACUCCGUGCCAGCCGCCGCAGUAA
This 506-nucleotide ribosomal RNA is filed under the name uncultured bacterium. Its description in RNAcentral is "partial 16S ribosomal RNA". It matches the Rfam family "Bacterial small subunit ribosomal RNA", at positions 29 to 523 of the family's 1533-position model. The record is from RNAcentral.